Molecule: long non-coding RNA, 872 nt
Organism: Cebus imitator (Panamanian white-faced capuchin)
Lineage: Eukaryota; Metazoa; Chordata; Mammalia; Primates; Cebidae
Exons: 2
Source: RefSeq, a predicted model, not a curated record
UUUCUGAUAGAAAACAUAAAAUAUCAUCCCCUUGGAGAGUUGACUUUGCUCCAUGCAGUUCCCACCUUUAUGGUGCUAUGGACUCCAGAUGUCAGCUGUAGUUUUUCUCCAUUUUUUGACAGCGUGAAGAACAAGAAAAACAACACCCAACCUCUGAUAAUCUGAUUAAAGAAUGCCACAUCAGUCACACAUCAGACAUGCCAGAAGAAGGAUCCAAAAAGAAAUACAGUUGAUCCUUGAACAACACAGGUUUUAGCUGCAUAGAUCCAUUUAUAUGGAAAUUUUCUUCUGUCUCUGCCACCCAAGACAGCAAGACCAACCCCUCCUCUUCCUCCUUCCUCCUCAGCCUACUUAACAUAAAGUCAAUGAGGAUGAAGACCUUUAUGAUAUUCUACUUAAUGAAUAGUCAAUAUAUUUUCUCUUUUUUAUACUUUUCUUAAUAACAUUUUUUUCUCUAGCUUGUUAAGAAUAUAGUACAUACUAUAUGUAACAAAAAAUAUGUGUUGACUGUUUAUGUUAUCUGUAAGGCUUCUGGUCAAGAAUAGGCUAUCAGUAAUUAAGUUUUUGGGGAGUCGAAAACUAUAUGCAGAUUUUCAGCUGCUAGGGGUCAGCAGCCCUAAUCCCUACAUUGUUCAAGGGUCAACUUGAAGAAAAAGAUUCUGCUUUGAAACUAGCAAGUAUAUAUCUAAUAGAUGUUAGCAGGUUCACAUAGAGGAGGCAGAUGUGCCUUACUUAGAACAUGUCUCCUAUGUCCAUCCUUCUGGUCCCAAGCUCCCUUCCUUUAGGAAGAGCCUGGGAUGGCGCAUAGAAGCAACAACUGCUGGAUAGAGAAGAUGGAGAUUCUCCAGGGCCAGUAGCCAGGUUAAUCAGGG